GUGGGGAAUUUUGGACAAUGGGCGAAAGCCUGAUCCAGCCAUGCCGCGUGCAGGAUGAAGGCCUUCGGGUUGUAAACUGCUUUUGUACGGAACGAAAAGACUCCUUCUAAUAAAGGGGGUCCAUGACGGUACCGUAAGAAUAAGCACCGGCUAACUACGUGCCAGCAGCCGCGGUAAUACGUAGGGUGCAAGCGUUAAUCGGAAUUACUGGGCGUAAAGCGUGCGCAGGCGGUUAUAUAAGACAGAUGUGAAAUCCCCGGGCUCAACCUGGGAACUGCAUUUGGGACUGUAUAGCUAGAGUACGGUAGAGGGGGAUGGAAUUCCGCGUGUAGCAGUGAAAUGCGUAGAUAUGCGGAGGAACACCGAUGGCGAAGGCAAUCCCCUGGACCUGUACUGACGCUCAUGCACGAAAGCGUGGGGAGCAAACAGGAUUAGAAACCCGGGUAGUCC
Molecule: ribosomal RNA, 450 nt
Filed under: uncultured bacterium
Lineage: Bacteria
Description: partial 16S ribosomal RNA
Rfam family: Bacterial small subunit ribosomal RNA
Source: RNAcentral